UUAGAGUCUUUACAUGAAAUAUCAGAAUGGG
RNAcentral lists this non-coding RNA (31 nucleotides) under Homo sapiens (human). The record is from RNAcentral. Lineage: Eukaryota; Metazoa; Chordata; Mammalia; Primates; Hominidae.